Molecule: transfer RNA, 71 nt
Filed under: Planctomycetaceae bacterium
Lineage: Bacteria; Pseudomonadati; Planctomycetota; Planctomycetia; Planctomycetales; Planctomycetaceae
Description: tRNA-Gln
Rfam family: tRNA
About the family: Transfer RNA (tRNA) molecules are approximately 80 nucleotides in length. Their secondary structure includes four short double-helical elements and three loops (D, anti-codon, and T loops).
Source: RNAcentral
UGGCCCUUGGUGUAACGGUAGCACGACUGACUCUGAUUCUGUUAUUCAAGGUUCUAAUCCUUGAGGGCCAG